RNAcentral lists this ribosomal RNA (637 nucleotides) under Polarella glacialis. RNAcentral describes it as "LSU rRNA". It matches the Rfam family "Eukaryotic large subunit ribosomal RNA", at positions 56 to 634 of the family's 3401-position model. Lineage: Eukaryota; Dinophyceae; Suessiales; Suessiaceae. The record is from RNAcentral.
AACAAGGAACUAAAUAGGAUUCCCUUAGUAAUGGCGAACGAACAGGGAUGAGCUCGGCUUGGAAACUGGGGCCUUGGCUCUGGAUUGUAGCCUCGAGACAUAUUGCCAACGGAGGCGCAGGUGUAAGCCUCUUGGAAAAGAGCAUCAACGUGGGUGAGAAUCCUGUGUUUCAUCUGCAGUCCACCGUGCACGGCACAUGUUCUCAGAGUCGCGUUCCUCGGAAUUGGAGCGUAAAGUGGGUGGUAAAUUUCAUCUAAAGCUAAAUAUAGGCUUGAGACCGAUAGCAAACAAGUACCAUGAGGGAAAGAUGAAAAGGACUUUGAAAAGAGAGUUAAAAGUGCUUGAAAUCGCUGAAAGGGAAGCGAAUGGAACCAGUCCUCUGGCUGAGAUUGUUGCAUGCUCCUGUGAUACCUGGCUGCUUCAGCGCAAGCGUUGCAACUUGGUGUUGAGCGGCUGUGUGUGGUGACUCUCAGCUUGUUAGUCAACCGCUGUUCAUACUUGAGGAAAGCCCCAGGUUCAUGAUUCUUCUCUGUGGAGUCGGUCUUGUGCUUGUGGGGACCCAGGUGUGUACAGUUUCCUGAGUGUCUGGUGCUAACGCCUCGUGAUGCUUCUGUGUGGGUGUUGCUUUUCCAAGCUU